AUGAAUAGCAGAGAUAGUGUGCUGCUCUUUGUUGAAGUUGCUUCUCACACCUCUAUUCUCUAUCAUCUUGCACCCUUCCAGUAUCACACACCCUAUUCUGGGAGAGAACAUACACAUGUUACUCUUGUGGAAGAAAAGCACUUAAAACACAACAAUAAUGCUUUUGGCCGACUUAGCCUUUUCUUGUUAUUGCUAUUAUUCCCUCUAAACAAAUUGGUCACAAGGAUGGAUAUAUACAGGACACACACAACAUCUUUGAUUCACUGCUUUCAUGAAGUCCCGCAUGUUCCAUCUAAGUGCAUGCGUUGUCCGAGUAGACUCAUGGAUGCACACUGUGCCAUUGCAAGCAAGCAACUAAUCUACUCAACGAGCUACUGUUACACCUCUAAGGAAGCUAAAUGUCCAGGGUGCUAUGCCCACAUGCAUGCACAUCUUGAGUCAAGUUAA
This 447-nucleotide ribosomal RNA is filed under the name Triticum aestivum (bread wheat). Its description in RNAcentral is "partial small subunit ribosomal RNA". Lineage: Eukaryota; Viridiplantae; Streptophyta; Magnoliopsida; Poales; Poaceae. The record is from RNAcentral.